UGCACUAGUUUAUUUUGUUUAAGCGAUGGAGGGACGCAGGAGGCUAAGGAAAGCGCACGGCUGGAAAAGUGCGUCCAAGCCGCAAGUCUGGUGGCGAGUGAAAUGCUUGCGACCAUAAGGACAAGCGGUGAUGGGGAGCGAAAUUAAAGUAGCGAAGUUCCUGAUGUCACACUGCCAAGAAAAGCUUCUAGUGAGAAAUAAACUACCCGUACCGCAAACCGACACAGGUAGUCGAGGAGAGUAUCCUCAGGUGAGCGAGCGAACUCUCGUUAAG
Molecule: ribosomal RNA, 274 nt
Filed under: Lacticaseibacillus casei
Lineage: Bacteria; Bacillati; Bacillota; Bacilli; Lactobacillales; Lactobacillaceae
Description: Lactobacillus casei partial 23S ribosomal RNA
Rfam family: Bacterial large subunit ribosomal RNA
Source: RNAcentral